Molecule: unclassified non-coding RNA, 285 nt
Organism: Vulpes vulpes (red fox)
Lineage: Eukaryota; Metazoa; Chordata; Mammalia; Carnivora; Canidae
Gene: 7SK
Rfam family: 7SK RNA
About the family: 7SK was discovered as an abundant small nuclear RNA in the mid-70s but a possible function has only recently been suggested. Two independent studies have found that 7SK RNA binds the CDK9/cyclin T complex (known as elongation factor P-TEFb). P-TEFb activates transcription by phosphorylating the C-terminal domain of RNA polymerase II.
Source: Ensembl
GAGUAUGAGGGGAAACUAGCUGUGACAUCUGUCAACAUAUUGAUUUCCAGGGUUGAUACAGAUGGUCUGAGCUAAUCCCCGGUCUCCCUCACUACCCCAUUUGUGUCCCAUCCAAAGUGAAUGACCUUUUUAAAAAAGCAAACAAAAGAAAAGGACCAGUCAUGAAGAGUAUUUAGAAAGUGUAUAUCUUUUCCACAAUUUUUAGACAUAUUCAUAAUUUUUUCAAAAACAGAUAAAUCUGCAGAAUAAAUAGACACACUUUAGUUGGGAGGAUUCCUUUUCCUA